RNAcentral lists this small RNA (71 nucleotides) under Parahoeflea halophila. RNAcentral's name for it is "Hoeflea sp. JG120-1 Makes More Granules Regulator RNA (mmgR)". It matches the Rfam family "Makes More Granules Regulator RNA (mmgR)". From Rfam's summary of the family: SuhB later renamed mmgR (makes more granules regulator) was a putative non-coding RNA found multiple times in the Agrobacterium tumefaciens genome and related alpha-proteobacteria. The record is from Rfam by way of RNAcentral. Lineage: Bacteria; Pseudomonadati; Pseudomonadota; Alphaproteobacteria; Hyphomicrobiales; Rhizobiaceae.
UGUAAAUGCCCUCCUUGGGCGUUUCCUCCCUAGAUUUCACCGCGCCACGAGCGCGGUUUUUUUUGCCGCUG